Molecule: ribosomal RNA, 394 nt
Filed under: uncultured bacterium
Lineage: Bacteria
Description: bacterial SSU rRNA
Rfam family: Bacterial small subunit ribosomal RNA
Source: RNAcentral
AGUGAACGCUGGCGGCAGGCCUAACACAUGCAAGUCGAACGGCAGCACGGCAGUAGCAAUACUGUGGGUGGCGAGUGGCGGACGGGUGAGGAAUACAUCGGGAUCUACCCUGUUGUGGGGGAUAACGUAGGGAAACUUACGCUAAUACCGCAUAAGAACUGAGGUUGAAAGCGGCGGACCGCAAGGCGUCGCGCGAUUGGAUGAACCGAUGUCCGAUUAGCUAGUUGGCGGGUAAAGGCCACCAAGGCGACGAUCGGUAGCUGGUCUGAGAGGACGACCAGCCACACUGGAACUGAGACACGGUCCAGACUCCUACGGGAGGCAGCAGUGGGGAAUAUUGGACAAUGGGCGCAAGCCUGAUCCAGCCAUGCCGCGUGGGUGAAGAAGGCCUCGG